Planococcus citri (citrus mealybug) is the source of this 2692-nucleotide long non-coding RNA. RefSeq lists it as uncharacterized. Lineage: Eukaryota; Metazoa; Arthropoda; Insecta; Hemiptera; Pseudococcidae. The record is from RefSeq and is a predicted model, not a curated record. The transcript is spliced from 2 exons.
UCCGUUCUUUGUUCUCAUUUUCUCAAUGUUCUUCACUGGGAUUUUUCCAGGUGUUCGUUCUUUCGUUCGCUCGUUCUUUCAAAAAUUGGUUGUUCUUUUGUUCUUCGGUCCUGUUCGUUCUUCCAUCCCUGAUUAAUUUUCCAAUUUAGAACUAAUUUAUGAUCAUAAAGUUUGUUUACUUUAUACCUAAUGAAAUUCUACAUGCAAAGAUUGCAAAGUGAACGCACCCCGGGACUUCGGGUCCAUUCGGGGAUGUACGUAGAUAGCCGAAGUGUAUUUAGUGUUAUUGUUAUUUCGUGAACUUCUCUAAUUAUUUUUGCGAUUGCGAAUCUGAAUCAAACUAUGUAAUUUCAAAUUAAUAAAAACAUUUGGUCAAAAUUUGACAACUUAGGAGACAAGUAAUCAAAACUGAAGCACCAGUUGAGGCAGUUGAGUAUCUUAAAGUCGUUUGUUGAAGUUAUUCAAUUCAAAAAUAGAAUAUUAGUAUGGUUUUGAUAACGUUUCUCCUCCAUCCCCCAGAUUUAUCGCAUAAAGUACGAUAGGACUACAUACGACAUACAUAAUACUUCUAUUUUAAAAUCAAAGUUUAAUGAUAGAUGCAUAAUUAAUUACUCGAUAAAAACACUGGAAUAUUAAGAGUUAUGUAAUAAUAACAACUCAGUGACUCAUUUUUAAGUUGCACUACAUGUCAAUGUCAGUUCAAGCAGAAUAGGCCAGCAAAAGUUUUCGAAUAUUCAGUACAUCGCUGAUUUUUCAAUAACACGAAACGCAGGCUAUAAUAUCAAAUUUUGAAGUUAUUUAAACGGAUUAUUUUAUUUUUUCUAGAAUGGAUGAGUAACGUGAGACGAGUGAUAAUUUGAUAACAAGUUCACGAAUUCACGAUACAGUGUUGGUUGUUUAAAACUAUCUUUUCAGACAUUGUUUAAACUAAUUUAAAUGCCAAGAAAAAAACAUUGUUGUUUAAAACGUAAUUUCUAUUUAAAACUGUUUUUAUUGUUUAAAACUUGUUUUUUUUGAGACCCCGUUUUUUUUUGUUUUUUUUUUUGAAUUAAUUAAAGAUUUUUGACCAUAGAAUUAUCAAAAAAAAAUUCAAAAAUGAUGUUUUUUUUACACGGAUUUUACAAGAAUCCAUUAUCUAAAGUAUGGAUUUUACAAGAAUCCAUAAUCUGAAUUCUGGGACUCCAAUAGUCCAGCUGGAUUGUUAGUUCAUUUCUGAUGAAGUAAAAUCUAAAAUCCAUUCCUAUAAUCUACUACCUCAGUAGAUUAUGGAUUUUCAAUUUUAAUCUGUUUAGGUAUAAUCCGGUAAAAAAAAGUCGGAUUUUCAAAAACUUAUUUUAUAUUAUUUUUUGUAAAAAAAAAAUUGACAAUACCUAAAGGCAAUAUACUUUUUGAAUUUUAUUUACUUUUUUUGAUCGAACGAGAACAAUAAAAUCAAACAAAGUUACAAAGUACCAAAAAAGUCUGAAAAAAAAACAAAAAACUGAAUACUGAAUCUGAAAAACCACAUUUACGUUUACACAUUGAAAAAAAAACGAAAUUUUUUGUUUUAAACGUGUUUUAAAAACGUUUAAAACAGGUCAAAUUUUACACUUGAAUUUGGGUUUAAUAAAAAAACUGUUUUUUGUUUUAUUUUAAAAAACCUGUUUUUUGUUUUAUUUAAAAAACAAGCAAGGUCACAGGUGACCUGGCAACGGGUUCCCCAUAAAAUGAUACGAAUUACCAUUAAAAAAAUAUUGUUUUAUUAAUUAAUUACGAGUACUAUAUAGGUACCUACUUUUGAUAAACACGAGGAAAAUUGAAAAUGGUGGAAAAUGGCCUUGCUUUUGAAAGUGAAAAGUGAAACAAAAAAACAAAAACAAUCAAUAAACAGAAGGAGGAUGUUUUGUUAUUUUUGUUUGUUUUUGGAAAUGUGUUUCAAAAAAAAUAUUAAAUUAUUAGGUACUUCUACUUAAUAAUAAUUUUAAGGAAAUAUUCGAAUUGUUUUCCAAAUUAUUUGGGCCUGCAUUUUGGCAGAUUUUCUUAUUCACAAACGUUUAUAAAAAUGUUGACAAAAAACGAAUAUUAUUUGGGGUUCUUGAGAAUUUUUUGAAUAAUUAUUAGAUUGGUAGAAUAUACAAAAUAAUUAGAAAAUUUUAGAUAAAUUUGUUGUUGUCGAAAAUUCGAAUCGUUGAUAUUAGCAAGGUACCACAUUUCAUUCAUCUUCUGUUGGUGAUGAGCAUAGCAUAAGCGUAAAAACAUUUUUUCUAAACUGACGUUCUCAUUCCACUUAUAUCACUUAUAUAUAUUAUAUAUUGUGUACUAUGUAAGUACUAAGUACCUACUUGCUGCUAAAAAAAAAAAAAUGAUUGAAUAUUGAAUGCUCCAUAAAUGACAAAUGUUUAUAAAAAUGAUGAAGUUGAUCACUGUGGUGAUACAUUUUUUGAAUUGUUACUUAGUUUUUCGUAAUAAUUUCUCAAAAAUACAUUGAAAUAGUCACCAGAAAAGUAAUUGACGUACAGAAAUGAUGAUGCUUUAAUAGCUUUAGCAUUAGCUUUACUCGUUGCUGCUAAAAAAAUAUCAUUGCUCAAUUAAAUUAAAAAUUUUAUGGUCAAUCUUCUCCAAUUUGCAUUCACCUGGAUUUAAUCUAGAAAUAAGUAUGUUCAACAUUUCACAUUACAUAAAUAAAAAACAAAAAUCAUGUUUGAGACAGUGA